This 1360-nucleotide small RNA is filed under the name Oryza sativa Japonica Group (Japanese rice). RNAcentral's name for it is "sRNA Os07g0675166". Lineage: Eukaryota; Viridiplantae; Streptophyta; Magnoliopsida; Poales; Poaceae. The record is from RNAcentral.
AUUUUUUCUUGCAUACCCCCCAUGCUACUACUGCACGUCUACAUUCCCGCGGAUCAGCUGACGCCUGACUAGCUUCCCCAAGGCGCACUGCUCCUGCUCCCCGCAGCGUCUCCUUCGCCGCGGCGCCGCGCCAGCAUCUCCGCGAGCGCGCGCGAGUGCGGCCACUCGGGGUUACCUCGCGGAACAUGGCCUCAGCGCGCGCCAGCGAAUCGUCCGCCGUGUCCUCCGCCACCUUCCCGGGUACGUCCGACAACCUGUCCGCGGCACUGCCGCCGUCCGUGGCACGCGUGAUCGGCUUCCUCGUGUCCGCGAACUCCAGCUCCGCGAGAGGCGACGGCUUGUGCGUCUGGUAGUACUCCCUGUCCUCCUCCCUCACUUUCCGCCCCGCCGCCUCCUCGCCCCCUGGCGUCGCCUCCUCGCGCGAGUCAGCUGGCCGGGACGACGACGACCGCCGCCGCUUCUGCGUGAACGACGAGCCUCCCGCCGGGUCGGCGAGCUCUUGGGACCCAAGCUUGUCAGACAUAGCGAACGGCGGGACGCGCUCCUUGGUGGAUUCCGACGGCGUUGCUGCCGCCGUCGACGGGUUCUUUCCGUGGUCGCCGCCUCCGGUGGCCUCCUCGGCGCCGGAGAACUUGGGAGGACGGUCGGGGUAGUCGUCACUCGGCGGGUCGCCGGAAUGCACGGAUGGAUCGCCUGCGCCACCCGCUUCCGUCGAGGUGGACAGGAGGCGGCGUCGCCCUGGUACGACGACGAGGCUGCGGAGAUUGGUAGAUGGUGGUCUUGAGGCAAUGAGGCGUACUGCUCGCGCGGUGGCCAUGCUGGUGGCUGGUCGAUCGUGCUAGCUGCUGAGGAUUUUCGAUGGCUCGACGAUGCCGUGUUCGCUCUCGUCGGAGGGUGGUCUUAUAUAUGGAACGGCGUGCGAGCGGAGAGAGUUCGCCGGAGAAGGAGAGGAGGUGGGGGAGGGAGAGGUGGACGCGUGGAGGGAUCGAGAGCAUCGAGAAUGAGGUGGAAGACACGAGUCGAGCACGGAGCGACCCUUUUCCUCUCUGGAAAGUGCGGGAAGACUGAAGAGCAGCGAGAGUUUUGGACUUUUGGCGGCGGUUGGGGCCGGGGCCAGACUGCCAGGUGAAAUCAGCCCGCUAAGAUUUCGGCCUUCCGGAUGAUUCGGCCCGCUCAGAGGCUACUUAGGAGUACUACUAUUACAUUUGGGCGUUAGGACAGGGAAAUUGAUUUGUCAUGUACUCUUUCCGUCAUAUCAGUCGUUUUAGUUUUCUUAUUAUUACCUUUUAAAAUUUUGAUCAAUUUUAGUAAAAAAUUACAACAAUUAUAAUAAUAAAUCAGUCUCUUUAAAUGUGGCAUU